Molecule: ribosomal RNA, 403 nt
Filed under: Fusobacteriota bacterium
Lineage: Bacteria; Fusobacteriati; Fusobacteriota
Description: Fusobacteria bacterium partial 16S ribosomal RNA
Rfam family: Bacterial small subunit ribosomal RNA
Source: RNAcentral
UGGGGAAUUUUGCACAAUGGCGGAAACUCUGAUGCAGCGACGCCGCGUGAGUGAUGAAGAUCUUCGGAUUGUAAAACUCUGUCCUUAGUGAAGAUAAUGACAGUAACUAAGAAGCAAGCCCUGGCUAAAUACGUGCCAGCAGCCGCGGUAAUACGUAUGGGGCAAGCGUUGUCCGGAAUUAUUGGGCGUAAAGGGUACGUAGGCGGUUUAAUAAGUCCUAAUUAAAAGGCUAUGGCUCAACCAUAGUAUGGUUAGGAAACUGUUGAACUUGAGUAGAUGAGGGGAAAGUGGAAUUCCAUGUGUAGCGGUGAAAUGCGUAGAUAUAUGGAGGAACACCAAUGGCGAAGGCAACUUUCUGGAAUCAAACUGACGCUGAGGUACGAAGGCGUGGGGAGCAAACAGG